This 659-nucleotide ribosomal RNA is filed under the name Drosophila pallidifrons. Its description in RNAcentral is "eukaryotic LSU rRNA". It matches the Rfam family "Eukaryotic large subunit ribosomal RNA", at positions 100 to 630 of the family's 3401-position model. Lineage: Eukaryota; Metazoa; Arthropoda; Insecta; Diptera; Drosophilidae. The record is from RNAcentral.
GAAAUCAGUUCAGCACUAAGUCACUUUGUCUAUAUGGCAAAUGUGAGAUGCAGUGUAUGGAACGUCAAUAUUCUAGUAUGAGAAAUUAACGAUUUAAGUCCUUCUUAAAUGAGGCCAUUUACCCAUAGAGGGUGCCAGGCCCGUAUAACGUUAAUGAUUAUUAGAUGAUGUUUCCAAAGAGUCGUGUUGCUUGAUAGUGCAGCACUAAGUGGGUGGUAAACUCCAUCUAAAACUAAAUAUAACCAUGAGACCGAUAGUAAACAAGUACCGUGAGGGAAAGUUGAAAAGAACUCUGAAUAGAGAGUUAAAUAGUACGUGAAACUGCUUAGAGGUUAAGCCCGAUGAACCUGAAUAUCCGUUAUGGAAAAUUCAUCAUUAGAAUUGUAAUAUUUAAUCAAUAUUAUAACGAUAGUGUGCAUUUUUUCCAUAUAAGGACAUUGUAAUCUAUUAGCAUGUAUGGAAUUUAUCAAACAAUUUUGAUAAGAGUUUAUUUAAAUUAGAGUGCUUGCAUUUUAACAUAGAAUAAAUUUCAAAAAUUUGAUAAAGUGCUGAUAGAUUAUAUGAGUACAGUGCGUUAAUUUUUCGGAAUUAUAUAAUGGCAUGAUUAUCAUUGAUUUUUAUGUUUAUUAUAAGCACUUGUAUGAUUAACAAUGCGAAAG